CGAUAGCGCACAAGUAGAGUGAUCGAAAGAUGAAAAGCACUUUGGAAAGAGAGUUAAACAGUACGUGAAAUUGUUGAAAGGGAAGCGCUUGCAACCAGACUUGCGUGUCGUCGAUCAUCCGGGGUUCUCCCCGGUGCACUCGGCUUCACUCAGGCCAGCAUCGGUUUCGGUGGUUGGAUAAAGGCCUUGGGAAUGUAGCUCCUCUCGGGGAGUGUUAUAGCCCUCGGUGCAAUGCAGCCUAGCCGGGACCGAGGACCGCGCUUCGGCUAGGAUGCUGGCGUAAUGGUUGUAAGCGACCCGUCUUGAAACACGGACCAAGGAGUCU
RNAcentral lists this ribosomal RNA (325 nucleotides) under Neofabraea perennans. Its description in RNAcentral is "partial large subunit ribosomal RNA". It matches the Rfam family "Eukaryotic large subunit ribosomal RNA", at positions 335 to 676 of the family's 3401-position model. Lineage: Eukaryota; Fungi; Ascomycota; Leotiomycetes; Helotiales; Dermateaceae. The record is from RNAcentral.